This 252-nucleotide ribosomal RNA is filed under the name uncultured bacterium. Its description in RNAcentral is "partial 16S ribosomal RNA". It matches the Rfam family "Bacterial small subunit ribosomal RNA", at positions 524 to 776 of the family's 1533-position model. The record is from RNAcentral.
UACGGAGGAUGCGAGCGUUAUCCGGAUUUAUUGGGUUUAAAGGGUGCGUAGGCGGGCAUUUAAGCCGGCGGUCAAAUGUCGGGGCUCAACCCCGGCCUGCCGUCGGAACUGGGUGCCUUGAGUGGGCGAGAAGUAUGCGGAAUGCGUGGUGUAGCGGUGAAAUGCAUAGAUAUCACGCAGAACCCCGAUUGCGAAGGCAGCAUACCGGCGCCCGACUGACGCUGAGGCACGAAAGUGCGGGUAUCGAACAGG